UACAGAGGGUGCGAGCGUUGUUCGGAAUUAUUGGGCGUAAAGGGCGCGUAGGCGGUGCCGCAAGUCACUUGUGAAAUCCCCGGGCUUAACUCGGGGCCUGCAGGCGAAACUGUGGUGCUGGAGUAUGGGAGAGGUGCGUGGAAUUCCCGGUGUAGCGGUGAAAUGCGCAGAUAUCGGGAGGAACACCGGUGGCGAAGGCGGUUCUCUGGGCCUUACCUGACGCUGAGGAGCGAAAGCGUGGGGAGCGAACAGG
This 253-nucleotide ribosomal RNA is filed under the name uncultured bacterium. RNAcentral describes it as "partial 16S ribosomal RNA". It matches the Rfam family "Bacterial small subunit ribosomal RNA", at positions 524 to 776 of the family's 1533-position model. The record is from RNAcentral.